UUGACUUUGUUUUUAUGGGAAGAGAUUUGUCAUGGAUGGGAACCAUCCACAAAGUUCCAAAAGUAAGGAGGAAGCAAAGAAAGACUCAGAAACAAUCCUCUUCAAUUACUACUAUAAGAUUCUUAACCCCGUUUCUUCCAUCUAUUCCAGUGAUUUCCUUAUGUGACGGUCUGAUAUUGAGGCAAGCACAAACUAACAGACCAAUGUUACAAAACAGUGAGUGCAGAGGUAGAAAGACAUAGAUACACAUGCAUGCAUGUACAUGCACACAUAUGUUUGAUCACUUGAUUUACAAGAAAGAGUGCACUUUAUGGCAAUGAAAGAAUAAUGUUAUUUUUAUUAAAUAGUGCCAGGCCCAUUGAACACCCUUAUGGAGUUAAUCAGUGAACCUUAUCUCUGCUUAGUCUCUACAGAUGAUUGCAGCUCUAAGUGAGACAGAUGCAAUAGUGAAAGACUUAAGAUAAAAUAGAAGUAUAUCUUAACUUGAGUGGGGGAAAUCUAUUUUCUAUUAUAAAAAGCAAUAACUAUUGAAGAUUGAUAAAUUCAACUUUUUAACAUUUGUAACAUGUGUUCCUCCUAUAUGCCAUGGGAACAAGAAAAAAACCAUUUAAUUGGGAAAUGUUGUGAACUUCUACAAAUCCAAAAGAAUACAAUUGAAUGCUCUCACCAUCAAUCCAUCAUUAACAGAAUAUUUUAGAAGCAUCUCACAAAAUAAGUUAUAAAAUGGCCAAUAAUAUAUAUAUACUCAAAAUUAAUAGUCAUAAAAAUACAAAUUAAAUGAAAUAUGGCAUUCAUCAUUUAAAAGAACUAUGACACAAAUUUUAAUUAAAAACUCAAUCAGGAUUUAGAAAGGAGGCAAAGUAAUUGUGCUUAUAUACACUAAAAUAGAGUGUCGGGUGCUAUAAUCACUUUGGACAAUGAUUGACUCUAAUUAGGAAAAUAGAACAGACUUUGUGACCCACAGUGCUAAAAUAUCCCAUGGCCACUAAUAAUAGAAUAGAUACAUUUUUAAAUUUCUGCACUGAAAUAUUAUGCAAAUAAAAAUGACCAAACUACUGCAACAAUAAAUAAUAUGUUUAUGUCUCUCAGAAAAAUGAGCAAAUGAAUUCAGACACAAAAUCAUAUUCAGUGUGAUUUGUCCUUUAUAACAAGUUCAAAAACUGACAGAUCUAAUAAAUAGUGACAGAAACUUGAACAAUUUGGGGACAGGAAAUGACAUGAUCCAGGCUUCUGAAGUGCAAAUGAUAUUUUAUAUCUUGAGCUAUAGAUUGGUUACUAGAGUAUUUUCACACUGGAAAACUUCAUUGAAUGUAUACUAAUGAUUCAUGUAGUUUUCUGUAGAUAUGUUAUGCUUCAAUAGUUUGCUUAAUGAAUUCAUGUGGGGCUCCUGGAUGGCUGAAUGGGUUGAGUAUCUACCUUCAACUCAGCUUAUGAUCCCAGGGUCCCAGGAUUGAGCCCUAUAUUGGCCUCCUUGCUCAGUGGAGAGUCUGCUUCUCCCUCCCCCUGUGCUUCUACUUCUGCUCAUUCUCUUUCUCUCUCUCACUCUCUCAAAUAAAUAAAUAAAUAAAUAAAUAAAUAAAUAAAUAAAUACAAAUCUUAAAAAAAUAAAUUCAUAAGAUAAAACUAAAUCAGAAUUUAGAUAAAAUUACUUUCUAUAAAUUUAACAGGAAUCAAGUAAGUUUACAAAUUGAUAAAUUGAGCCAUCAGUGUAGAGAACUGGGGGUAAAAAGAGCAUCUCAGGAAACCCAAAAUAAGGAGAAAAAUGACAUUAAAGAAAAGGCAGAAUAAUAGGGUAAUUCUAUAUUUAACUUUUUGAGGAAGCUCCAUACUGUUUUCCACAACGUGUGUGCCACUCUGCAUUUCCACCAACAGUUUAACAGGGUGACCCUUUCUCCACAUCCCUGCCAAUACCUGUUGUUUCUGGUCUUGUUGAUUUGAGCCAUUUUGACAGGUGUGAGGGGAUAGCUCAUUGUAGUUUUGAUUCAGAUGUCCCUUAUGGUCAGUGAUCACGAUCACUUCUUGUGUCUGUUGGCUACCUGUGUGUCUUCUCCAGAAAAAUGGCUAUUCAUAAGUUCAGCCCAUGUUUUAAUUGGAUUAUUCAUUUUUGCGGUGUUGAGUUUUAUAAGUUCUUUUUAUAUUUUGAAUGUGAACCCUUUAUCAGAUAUGUCAUUUGCAAAUAUCUUCUCCCAUUCCAUAGGUUCCAUUUCAGUUUUGUUGAUUAUUUCCUUCACCGUGCA
Molecule: long non-coding RNA, 2237 nt
Filed under: Canis lupus familiaris (dog)
Lineage: Eukaryota; Metazoa; Chordata; Mammalia; Carnivora; Canidae
Description: lncRNA (ENSCAFG00845005576.1)
Source: RNAcentral